GUAGGCUGAAACUCGCCUACAUGAAGCUGGAGUUACUAGUAAUCGCAGAUCAGAAUGCUGCGGUGAAUGCGUUCCCGGGUCUUGUACACACCGCCCGUCACACCACGGGAGUUGGAGCCGCCCGAAGCCGAUUAUCUAACCUUUUGGAAGAAGUCGUCGAAGGUGGAAUCAAUAACUGGGGUGAAGUCGUAACAAGGUAGCCGUAUCGGAAGGUGCGGCUGGAUCACCUCCUUUCUAAGGAGA
This 243-nucleotide ribosomal RNA is filed under the name Clostridioides difficile. RNAcentral's name for it is "partial 16S ribosomal RNA". It matches the Rfam family "Bacterial small subunit ribosomal RNA", at positions 1300 to 1533 of the family's 1533-position model. Lineage: Bacteria; Bacillati; Bacillota; Clostridia; Peptostreptococcales; Peptostreptococcaceae. The record is from RNAcentral.